GGGCAUCUGCUGACAUGGGGGCCGAAGUCAGGCGUCAGGCAGUGGGUACUUUGCAUCUUAUCUCCAGGAACAUCGAUCCUCCUUGACAGCCUUGGGUGUCAG
Molecule: microRNA precursor, 102 nt
Filed under: Mus musculus (house mouse)
Lineage: Eukaryota; Metazoa; Chordata; Mammalia; Rodentia; Muridae
Description: mir-680 microRNA precursor family
Rfam family: mir-680 microRNA precursor family
Source: Rfam by way of RNAcentral